This 200-nucleotide unclassified non-coding RNA is filed under the name Agaricomycetes sp. RNAcentral's name for it is "partial internal transcribed spacer 2". The record is from RNAcentral. Lineage: Eukaryota; Fungi; Basidiomycota; Agaricomycetes.
UUAAGUUCAGCGGGUAGUCCUACUUGAUUUGAGGUAUAAUGUUCAAAGUAUUGUCCAAUGAAGGACUGUUAGAAGCCAAACUUCAUUACAACUAUGCAGUGAAGAUAUUAUCACACUACACGUAACGUUGUAACUCGAUUCAACUAAUGCAUUCAAGGGAAAGCCAGAUCUAAUGAAAGGCCAGCAAAUCCCCAAAUCCA